GUGAAUCAUCGAAUCUUUGAACGCACCUUGCACCCUUUGGUAUUCCGAAGGGUAUGCCUGUUUGAGUGUCAUUAAAUUCUCAACUUCAAAGGUUACUUGUUAGCUUUUGAAGCUUGGACUUUGGAGGUUAUUGCAGGCAUUACACAAUGUCAGCUCCUCUUAAAUGCAUUAGCAGAACUUUCAAGGACAUGGCUUAUUGGUUUGAUAAUACAUAUCUAUGCCAUUACCAUGGACUUCAAUUUUGUUCAGCUUCUAAUGGUCUUAGGACUGUCUCUUAUGAGGCAUACACUUUAAGCUUGA
RNAcentral lists this unclassified non-coding RNA (300 nucleotides) under uncultured Clavariaceae. RNAcentral describes it as "sequence contains 5.8S rRNA gene, ITS2". The stretch from base 1 to 71 matches the Rfam family "5.8S ribosomal RNA", at positions 84 to 154 of the family's 154-position model. The record is from RNAcentral. Lineage: Eukaryota; Fungi; Basidiomycota; Agaricomycetes; Agaricales; Clavariaceae.